Acanthosepion pharaonis is the source of this 113-nucleotide non-coding RNA. The record is from the annotation of a GenBank genome assembly. Lineage: Eukaryota; Metazoa; Mollusca; Cephalopoda; Sepiida; Sepiidae.
UAUGGCCACAUCAUGUUGAAAUACCAGUUCCCAUAUGAUUACUCAAGUUAAGCAACAUUAAGCCUAGUCAGGACCUAGAUGAGUGACUGCUUGGGAAUACCAGGUGCUGUAAG